Molecule: ribosomal RNA, 1469 nt
Filed under: uncultured Bordetella sp.
Lineage: Bacteria; Pseudomonadati; Pseudomonadota; Betaproteobacteria; Burkholderiales; Alcaligenaceae
Description: partial 16S-23S ribosomal RNA intergenic spacer
Rfam family: Bacterial small subunit ribosomal RNA
Source: RNAcentral
CAUUGGCUCAAGAUUGAACGCUGGCGGGAUACUUUACACAUGCAAGUCGAACGGCAGCACGGACUUCGGUCUGGUGGCGAGUGGCGAGCAGGUGAGUAAUGUAUCGGAACGUGCCGUAGCGGGGGAUAACUACGCGAAAGCGUAGCUAAUACAUACGCCCUUCGAGAAGAAAGCGAGGACCUUACCGGACACUGCGCUAUUGAGCAAUGAUAUCGGAUUAGCUAGUUGGUGGGGUAACGGCUCACCAAGGCGACGAUCCGUAGCUGGUUUGAGAGGACGACCAGAAAGCCACGCAGGACUGGGGCUUCCCCGGCCCAGACUCCUGCGGAGGCAGCGGUGGGGGAAUUUUUGGACGUGGAAACCUGAUCAACCAUCCGCGUGUGCGAUGAAGGCCUUCGGUUGUAAACCGCUUUUGACGCGGAAAGAAACAGCGCAGGAUGGCCCCAUAAGCUGGCGAACUUACCCACAGAAUAAGCGCAACUAACUACGUGCCAGCAGCCGCGGUAAUACGUAAGUGCAAAGCGAUUGAUAGGAAUUACUGGGCGUAAAGCGUGCGCAGGCGAGUUGGAAAGAUGUGAAAUCCCAGAGCUUAACUUUGGAACUGCAUUUUUAACUACCGAGCUAGAGUGUGUCAGAGAGUGGAAUUCGCGUGCUGGCAGUGAAAUGCGUAGAUAUGCGAAGGAACACCGAUGGCGGUAGCCUCCUGGGACAACCCUUCGACGCUCCAUGCACGAAAGCAAGUGGAGCGAAACAGGAUUAGAUACCCUGGUGGUCCACGCCCCUAACGAUGUCAACUAGCUGUUGGGGCCUUCGGGCUGCCAUUGGCGCAACGCGUGAAGUUGAUCGCCUGGGGAGUACGGUCACUAGCAAAGAUUAAAACUCAAGAGAUUGACGGGGACCCGCACAAGCGGUGGAUGAUGUGGAUUAAUCGAUGCAGCGAAAAGCAUACCUACCCUUGACAUCUGUCUGGAAUCCGAAGAGAUUUGGGAGUGCUCGCAAGAGAACCGGAACACGGGUGCUGCAUGGCUAUGAAAUCAGCUCGUGUCAUUGAGAUAUUGGAUUGAAGUCCACACCUUGAGCGCAACCAUGUCGUGUAUUGCUGAAAGGGCACUCUAAUCGCAGGACUGCCAUUAAACCGGAGGAAGGUGAGGAUGACGUCAAGUCCUCAUGGCUACCAUAUGGGUAGGGCUUCACACGUCAUACAAUGGUCGGGAUGAAGGUCUUAACCAUGAGAGGCCAAUCCCAGAAACCCAGUCAAUGGUCCGGAUCGCGAUCUGCAACUCGUUCGUGAUCGGAAUCGCUAGUAAUCGCGGAUCAGCAUGUCGCGGUGAAUACGUUCGGGUCUUGUGCCACCACCGCGCUGUCUACACCAUGUGGGAGUGGGUUUUACCAGGAAAUGGUUAGCCUAACCGUAAGGAGGGCGAUUACCACGGUAGGAUUCAUGACUGGGGUAGAGUCGUAACAAAGGU